Molecule: long non-coding RNA, 264 nt
Filed under: Medicago truncatula (barrel medic)
Lineage: Eukaryota; Viridiplantae; Streptophyta; Magnoliopsida; Fabales; Fabaceae
Description: long non-coding RNA (MTRU_LNC004155)
Source: RNAcentral
GAAGUUGAUCCUUCAUAGGACUACACCCAAAUCAAGCAUAAGAUUACUGGUGUAUGAUCAAAGGAACUCAACGACUCUUUAGACGUGCUAAAAAUCUCAACGUCUCUCUACUCACCACUAUAUAAAGGAGUGAAGACUUGAAGAUUGGUAAGAGACAUCAACACAAGUUAAAAGCGCCAAAACUCUGCCAAAUUUGAUUCUAAAAAGCACUUUGAAUUUCUGCACUGAUUUGAUACAUCUUAGAAAUUCUUAAGUCUAGAGUCU